CGUAGGUGGUUUGUCGCGUUGUUCGUGAAAUCUCACGGCUUAACUGUGAGCGUGCGGGCGAUACGGGCAGACUAGAGUACUGCAGGGGAGACUGGAAUUCCUGGUGUAGCGGUGGAAUGCGCAGAUAUCAGGAGGAACACCGGUGGCGAAGGCGGGUCUCUGGGCAGUAACUGACGCUGAGGAGCGAAAGCGUGGGGAGCGAACAGGAUUAGAUACCCUGGUAGUCCACGCCGUAAACGGUGGGUACUAGGUGUGGGUUUCCUUCCUUGGGAUCCGUGCCGUAGCUAACGCAUUAAGUACCCCGCCUGGGGAGUACGGCCGCAAGGCUAAAACUCAAAGGAAUUGACGGGGGCCAGCACAAGCGGCGGAGCAUGUGGAUUAAUUCGAUGCAACGCGAAGAACCUUACCUGGGUUUGACAUGCACAGGACGCGUCUAGAGAUAGGCGUUCCCUUGUGGCCUGUGUGCAGGUGGUGCAUGGCUGUCGUCAGCUCGUGUCGUGAGAUGUUGGGUUAAGUCCCGCAACGAGCGCAACCCUUGUCUCAUGUUGCCAGCGGGUAAUGCCGGGGACUCGUGAGAGACUGCCGGGGUCAACUCGGAGGAAGGUGGGGAUGACGUCAAGUCAUCAUGCCCCUUAUGUCCAGGGCUUCACACAUGCUACAAUGGCCGGUACAAAGGGCUGCGAUGCCGUAAGGUUAAGCGAAUCCUUUUAAAGCCGGUCUCAGUUCGGAUUGGGGUCUGCAACUCGACCCCAUGAAGUCGGAGUC
Molecule: ribosomal RNA, 765 nt
Filed under: uncultured Mycobacterium sp.
Lineage: Bacteria; Bacillati; Actinomycetota; Actinomycetes; Mycobacteriales; Mycobacteriaceae
Description: bacterial SSU rRNA
Rfam family: Bacterial small subunit ribosomal RNA
Source: RNAcentral